GGAUUGUGGCUCAGUGGCAGAGUUCUUGCCUUGCACAUGUGAGGCACUGGGUUCAAUCCUCAGCACCA
This 68-nucleotide transfer RNA is filed under the name Marmota monax (woodchuck). RNAcentral describes it as "tRNA.Ala". Lineage: Eukaryota; Metazoa; Chordata; Mammalia; Rodentia; Sciuridae. The record is from RNAcentral.